RNAcentral lists this ribosomal RNA (1247 nucleotides) under metagenome. RNAcentral describes it as "bacterial SSU rRNA". It matches the Rfam family "Bacterial small subunit ribosomal RNA", at positions 241 to 1498 of the family's 1533-position model. The record is from RNAcentral.
UUAGCUAGUUGGCGGGGUAACGGCCCACCAAGGCGACGAUGACUAGGGGAUCUGAGAGGAUGACCCCCCACACUGGUACUGAGACACGGACCAGACUCCUACGGGAGGCAGCAGUAAGGAAUAUUGGUCAAUGGAGGCAACUCUGAACCAGCCAUGCCGCGUGCAGGAAGACAGCCCUCUGGGUCGUAAACUGCUUUUAUUCGGGAAUAAACCACAUUACGUGUAAUGUGCUGAAUGUACCGAAGGAAUAAGGAUCGGCUAACUCCGUGCCAGCAGCCGCGGUAAUACGGAGGAUCCAAGCGUUAUCCGGAUUUAUUGGGUUUAAAGGGUGCGUAGGCGGCUUAUCAAGUCAGGGGUGAAAGACGGUGGCUCAACCAUCGCAGUGCCUUUGAUACUGAUGAGCUUGAAUACACUAGAGGUAGGCGGAAUGUGACAAGUAGCGGUGAAAUGCAUAGAUAUGUCACAGAACACCGAUUGCGAAGGCAGCUUACUAUGGUGUGAUUGACGCUGAGGCACGAAAGCGUGGGGAUCAAACAGGAUUAGAUACCCUGGUAGUCCACGCCCUAAACGAUGAAUACUCGCUGUUAGCGAUAUACAGUUAGCGGCUAAGCGAAAGCGUUAAGUAUUCCACCUGGGGAGUACGCCCGCAAGGGUGAAACUCAAAGGAAUUGACGGGAGCCCGCACAAGCGGAGGAGCAUGUGGUUUAAUUCGAUGAUACGCGAGGAACCUUACCCGGGCUUGAAAGUUAGUGAAUCAUUUAGAGAUAGAUGAGUCCGCAAGGACACGAAACUAGGUGCUGCAUGGCUGUCGUCAGCUCGUGCCAUGAGGUGUUGGGUUAAGUCCCGCAACGAGCGCAACCCCUAUGUUUAGUUGCCAGCACGUUAUGGUGGGGACUCUAAACAGACUGCCUGUGCAAACAGAGAGGAAGGAGGGGACGACAUCAAGUCAUCAUGGCCCUUACGUCCGGGGCUACACACGUGCUACAAUGGAUGGUACAGAGGGCAGCAAGCUGGCAACAGCAAGCGAAUCUCAAAAAGCCAUUCACAGUUCGGAUAGAGGUCUGCAACUCGACCUCUUGAAGUUGGAUUCGCUAGUAAUCGCGUAUCAGCAAUGACGCGGUGAAUACGUUCCCGGGCCUUGUACACACCGCCCGUCAAGCCAUGGAAGUUGGGGGUACCUAAAGUAUGUAACCGCAAGGAGCGUCCUAGGGUAAAACCGAUAACUGGGGCUAAGUCGUAACAAGGUA